UGUUGGACAGUUGACAGUUGGAACCAGACAACUAUUUGACAUAUCAAGAUUAAAUAUCAAUAUUGCAGUUCGAACCCUCAGAGCUCAUACGCUGCACUCAGUCGGGGAGGAUGUUUUCCAGUUGGUUUUCUCCUGAAGGAGUCGCUGUUUUGUUACUCACAAUAGUUACAACAUUUGAUGCUUCCCUUCCCGAUGUGAAUCUCACACUACCUGAAAAAUGCCAGGUUGAUUUGCUAGCAGAGUCUGCACUGGAGUGGGCGCUGCCCCCAUUUCAGAACGGAACAGUGCAGGAGCCACUACAGGACAU
Neoarius graeffei (lesser salmon catfish) is the source of this 307-nucleotide long non-coding RNA. RefSeq lists it as uncharacterized. Lineage: Eukaryota; Metazoa; Chordata; Actinopteri; Siluriformes; Ariidae. The transcript is spliced from 4 exons. The record is from RefSeq and is a predicted model, not a curated record.